This 1345-nucleotide ribosomal RNA is filed under the name uncultured bacterium. RNAcentral describes it as "partial 16S ribosomal RNA". It matches the Rfam family "Bacterial small subunit ribosomal RNA", at positions 28 to 1380 of the family's 1533-position model. The record is from RNAcentral.
GACGAACGCUGGCGGCGUGCUUAACACAUGCAAGUCGAACGGAAAGGCCCUGCUUUUGUGGGGUGCUCGAGUGGCGAACGGGUGAGUAACACGUGAGUAACCUGCCCUUGACUUUGGGAUAACUUCAGGAAACUGGGGCUAAUACCGGAUAGGAGCUCCUGCUGCAUGGUGGGGGUUGGAAAGUUUCGGCGGUUGGGGAUGGACUCGCGGCUUAUCAGCUUGUUGGUGGGGUAGUGGCUUACCAAGGCUUUGACGGGUAGCCGGCCUGAGAGGGUGACCGGCCACAUUGGGACUGAGAUACGGCCCAGACUCCUACGGGAGGCAGCAGUGGGGAAUAUUGCACAAUGGGCGGAAGCCUGAUGCAGCAACGCCGCGUGCGGGAUGACGGCCUUCGGGUUGUAAACCGCUUUCGCCUGUGACGAAGCGUGAGUGACGGUAAUGGGUAAAGAAGCACCGGCUAACUACGUGCCAGCAGCCGCGGUGAUACGUAGGGUGCGAGCGUUGUCCGGAUUUAUUGGGCGUAAAGGGCUCGUAGGUGGUUGAUCGCGUCGGAAGUGUAAUCUUGGGGCUUAACCCUGAGCGUGCUUUCGAUACGGGUUGACUUGAGGAAGGUAGGGGAGAAUGGAAUUCCUGGUGGAGCGGUGGAAUGCGCAGAUAUCAGGAGGAACACCAGUGGCGAAGGCGGUUCUCUGGGCCUUUCCUGACGCUGAGGAGCGAAAGCGUGGGGAGCGAACAGGCUUAGAUACCCUGGUAGUCCACGCUGUAAACGGUGGGUACUAGGUGUGGGGUCCAUUCCACGGGUUCCGUGCCGUAGCUAACGCUUUAAGUACCCCGCCUGGGGAGUACGGCCGCAAGGCUAAAACUCAAAGGAAUUGACGGGGCCCCGCACAAGCGGCGGAGCAUGCGGAUUAAUUCGAUGCAACGCGUAGAACCUUACCUGGGUUUGACAUGGAUCGGGAGUGCUCAGAGAUGGGUGUGCCUCUUUUGGGGUCGGUUCACAGGUGGUGCAUGGCUGUCGUCAGCUCGUGUCGUGAGAUGUUGGGUUAAGUCCCGCAACGAGCGCAACCCUUGUUCACUGUUGCCAGCACGUUAUGGUGGGGACUCAGUGGAGACCGCCGGGGUCAACUCGGAGGAAGGUGGGGAUGACGUCAAGUCAUCAUGCCCCUUAUGUCCAGGGCUUCACGCAUGCUACAAUGGCUGGUACAGAGAGUGGCGAGCCUGCGAGGGUGAGCGAAUCUCGGAAAGCCGGUCUCAGUUCGGAUUGGGGUCUGCAACUCGACCUCAUGAAGUCGGAGUCGCUAGUAAUCGCAGAUCAGCAACGCUGCGGUGAAUACGUUCCCGGGGC